Molecule: long non-coding RNA, 233 nt
Filed under: Homo sapiens (human)
Lineage: Eukaryota; Metazoa; Chordata; Mammalia; Primates; Hominidae
Description: LHRI_LNC714.1
Source: RNAcentral
CUGGAACUGUGGGAGCAGCACAGGGGAAUGGGCUUGUGGGUCUGGGGUGGCGUUCUGGGUGUGGCCCGCCUCGCAGUGACCACACUGAAGUGGGCACCGUCCUGCAGGCAGAAGGUGUGCCGUGAGGGCAGAGGCUUCCUCCCAUGGACCCUUCCUGGCGGUUACCGCCCUUUUGCUCCCCUCCACUGAGGACUCCCUGUUCCUUUGCUCCCGGUGCCCUCAUGCACACCAGC